AGAGGGAGACCAAGCCAAGCAGGGCAGACAGUCGCCCAGGGCAGCCAAACAUUUAGCAAUUGUCCAUUGUGUGUGCAGAGGGUGGGAAAAGGGAGGAGAAAGAAAUGUACUUGUCUCCUUGGGAAAACAAGGCAGUACGGCUGAGGCGGUGCAGCCACCUGCGGUGUGGAGGAACCAGCAACCAUGAACUCGGGAUUACAGACCAGAGUACCUAUAUACACAGAUAAGACACAGUAAAGGAACGAGUGCAGGGGUAGGUGACGGAGCUGCCUCUCCAUAAACCCUACGCACUGAUCAUAACCAGGAGACUGACAUGGCCGGGCCGGAACGCAGGGCUGGCAGCUCACGACUUUAAUAGCACAAUAAACUCUUCCCUGACAUCACGCGGACCCCUAGCCCCGACCCCCACAACGGGGCGCCCCUGUGCCUCGUUUCUCGCCCUUACCUGACAGCUACUCUCACGGAGCUCUCGUCCUGGGCGCCCCACAUGCUCCUGGGGCUCCGCCGCGCGGGGCCGGAGCCAGAUCAGGGCUACUUUCUACACCAGGGGCUUCCGCUGCCCUGUGGCAACGAGAGAGAGGGAGGGGGGCCUCACGGCUCAGAGCGGAGAAGGCAGGCGGGAGGAGGCGGAGGCCACAGGCGGGAGGCGGAGGCCACGGCUCACCUCCAGAGUGCUCCAGCCAUGUUGGGUGACUGAAUGGAAAGGUGGUGGCCACGAAGAAACGGGAGGAGGUGGGAAGUGAUUCACCGCCCCUCCUCUCCUCCCCCUGGAGGAUCUGAAGAUUCAAUGGAUCGCAGGCCGGUUCUCCACCUCCCUCGCCGCCCUCCGGACCCGCCCCGCGGCCCGCCCCCCUUCCUUCUCUGGCCUGCCUGCGGCCUCCCGGCAGGCUAGUGGUUCUGACUCCUGGUCCUUCAGGUUCCUCGCUCUGCAAUGCGUCAGGAACUGCGGCCGCCUCCGAUCCACCUUCCUUUCCCACGCCCUGUUCCGUGGGGCUCUCACUGAGGGAGAGGGGAAAACACACGCGCGCGCGCACACGCACACACGUACACACACGCAAUCUCGUCCCAGCCCUGCAUCAGUGGUGAAACUAGUCAGGUGGUAUCCCGUUCUGUCUGUUUUCAUCCUUAGCUUUAAGAGUGUUCUCCCCAGCUUGGACUUUAAACGACUCCCCCGCCCCCUUCUCAUUUCUCCAUCCUCAGCACGCUCAUGGCCAAAAACCCUGUCUGCCAGUACCAUCACCCCAAAUGCUCAUUUGCAGAAGUAGGCUUACCCAGCCGCCACAUGUUAGACUAGAGCCAGGUAGGUAUUGAAGAAAAAAUGCACUCUAGCAAACAAUUUUUACUGAUUUAACAUGUCAUUUUAGAGAGAUGAUUUUUGGGGAGUUUAAUUGGUAUGGCAUUGAAUAAGUAAUUUAAUUUUGGAAUUGUCGUUUUUAAAAAAUCAUAUUGGCUCAGCCUUGUUCAGUUGCUUAGAUUUGACUUUAUUUUUGUGAAAAGGGUUUUGUAGUUGGGAUCAUAUAGUUCCUGAGUUUGUCUUGGCAGGUAAAUUCCCAGGUAUUUUAUAUUGUCUACAGUUAUUUUAAAUGAGAAUUUUAAAUGAGCCUUCUCUUUCUAUCACCUGCUCUUGGGUUUAUGCUUAUGGUUUAUUGUGGGUUUAUUUUAUGCCCUGAAACUUUGCUAAAGUUGUUAAUUGUUUUGAUCAGUUUUUUUGGUUGAUUCUCUAGGAUUUGCUAGAUAUGCCAUCAUAUCAUCUGCAAAAAGUGACAACUUCAUUUCUUCAUUGCCUAUUCUAAUUCCUUCAGUUUCUUCUUUUCCUCUUACUGCUACUCCCAGCAUUUCCAAUACUAUGUUAAAUAAUAUUGGUGAUAAUGGGCAUCCUUGCUUCAUUCCUGAUCUUAUUGGGAAGGCAUCUAGCUUAACCCCAUUACAGAUAAUGUUUGCUGAUAAUUUUAGAUAAACGCUAUUUAUCAUUCUGAGGAAUUUUCCAUUUAUUCCAAUGUACUCUAGUGUUUUUUAAAUAGGAAUAAGUGUUGUAUUUUAUAAAAAACUUUUCCUGCAUCUGUUGAAAUAAUCACAUGGUUUCUGUUGAUUUUGUUAGUGAUACAGUCAGUUAUGUUGAUAGUUUUCCUAAUACUGAACCAUACAUCCCUGCAUUCCAGUUAUAAAACUUACCUGGUCGAUGUGUAUGUAUUCCUUAUGAUAUAUUGCUAUAAUCGUCUUGCUAGUAUUUAAUUUAAACUUUUUAAUGUUCAGAUUUUAACAAAUAAAGAAUAUGAGGUCAUUUCCCCA
RNAcentral lists this long non-coding RNA (2289 nucleotides) under Monodelphis domestica (gray short-tailed opossum). RNAcentral describes it as "lncRNA (ENSMODG00000045201.1)". Lineage: Eukaryota; Metazoa; Chordata; Mammalia; Didelphimorphia; Didelphidae. The record is from RNAcentral.